RNAcentral lists this ribosomal RNA (432 nucleotides) under uncultured bacterium. Its description in RNAcentral is "partial 16S ribosomal RNA". It matches the Rfam family "Bacterial small subunit ribosomal RNA", at positions 29 to 507 of the family's 1533-position model. The record is from RNAcentral.
AGCGAACGCUGGCGGCAGGCCUAACACAUGCAAGUCGAACGAACUCUUCGGAGUUAGUGGCGGACGGGUGAGUAACACGUGGGAACGUGCCUUUUGGUUCGGAAUAACUCAGGGAAACUUGUGCUAAUACCGAAUGUGCCUUCGGGGGAAAGAUUUAUCGCCAUUAGAGCGGCCCGCGUCUGAUUAGCUAGUUGGUGAGGUAACGGCUCACCAAGGCGACGAUCAGUAGCUGGUCUGAGAGGAUGACCAGCCACACUGGGACUGAGACACGGCCCAGACUCCUACGGGAGGCAGCAGUGGGGAAUCUUGCGCAAUGGGCGAAAGCCUGAUGCAGCCAUGCCGCGUGAAUGAUGAAGGUCUUAGGAUUGUAAAAUUCUUUCACCGGGGACGAUAAUGACGGUACCCGGAGAAGAAGCCCCGGCUAACUUCGUG